GCAUAUCAAUAAGCGGAGGAAAAGAAACCAACAGGGAUUACCUCAGUAACGGCGAGUGAAGCGGUAACAGCUCAAAUUUGAAAGCUGCCAACAGGCCGCGUUGUAAUUUGUAGAAGCUGCUUUGGGUGUCGGCCCGGUCUAAGUUCCUUGGAACAGGACGUCAUGGAGGGUGAGAAUCCCGUAUGUGAUCGGUGCCGUUGCCCGUGUAAAGCGCUUUCGACGAGUCGAGUUGUUUGGGAAUGCAGCUCAAAAUGGGUGGUAAAUUUCAUCUAAAGCUAAAUAUUGGCCAGAGACCGAUAGCGCACAAGUAGAGUGAUCGAAAGAUGAAAAGCACUUUGGAAAGAGAGUUAAACAGUACGUGAAAUUGUUGAAAGGGAAGCGCUUGCAACCAGACUUGCGGGCGGUCGAUCAUCCGAGGUUCUCCCCGGUGCACUCGAUCGUUCUCAGGCCAGCAUCGGUUUCCGGGGUGGGAUAAAGGCGGUGGGAAUGUGGCUCUUCGGAGUGUUAUAGCCCACCGUGCAAUGCCGCCACUGGGGACCGAGGACCGCGCUUCGGCUAGGAUGCUGGCGUAAUGGUUGUAAGCGACCCGUCUUGAAACACGGACCAAGGAGUCUAACAUCUAUGCGAGUGUUUGGGUGUCAAACCCAUACGCGUAAUGAAAGUGAACGGAGGUAAGAGCCCUUUAGGGUGCAUUAUCGACCGAUCCUGAUGUCUUCGGAUGGAUUUGAGUAAGAGCAUAGCUGUUGGGACCCGAAAGAUGGUGAACUAUGCGUGAAUAGGGUGAAGCCAGAGGAAACUCUGGUGGAGGCUCGCAGCGGUUCUGACGUGCAAAUCGAUCGUCAAAUUUGCGUAUAGGGGCGAAAGACUAAUCGAACCAUCUAGUAGCUGGUUCCUGC
RNAcentral lists this ribosomal RNA (896 nucleotides) under fungal sp. CBS 179.46. Its description in RNAcentral is "LSU rRNA". It matches the Rfam family "Eukaryotic large subunit ribosomal RNA", at positions 38 to 961 of the family's 3401-position model. Lineage: Eukaryota; Fungi. The record is from RNAcentral.